GUGAAGUGUCCAGAUAUCAGCGCUCACCUGGCUGGUACCAAGAAGGUUCAGCAAGUGCUCCCCAGACCUGGAGUCCUGGACAGAUUCUUCCCAGACCAGCCUCAAGCUGUGCAGCAGAUCCGAGCGACAUUGGCUGACCUCUACACUCUAGACAUGGGUCCAGAGAGGGACAAAACAGUAUCAGUGGCCUUGUCAGCAGCAGAACGGUUUGUCUUGGAGUCUCAGCGAGAAGGAGGAGGCAGGGUAAAGACAUGGUGAUGAAUGAGUGUGUGGACCGUCUGCUGAGGACCAAGAGCUCAGGACAGUCAGACGGGGGCGUCGCAGCAGGAGUCACCAUGCUCCACAAUCCUCUGCUGUUCUGAGAUGUCACACUCCUGCCUGCACAUACAAACCACACUGAAGUCAAAGUUCCACCUGCGCCUCAACCUGUUCUUGCAAAAGCAUGAAAACUGACAGAGGGUGAAGAGCAGUUAGCAGUGCAUUCACGGACAUCUUUAAACUAUUAAACGAAGAAUCUUUGGUCAUGAUGUCAUGAACUAGAAACGUGAGCUCCAGAUGUCUCUCAGACCAAGAUUGAAUGUGAUGACAAGGGUGAUGGAUGGUGUGACAUGUGCUGCUGGCCCACAGAACCAGUUGCAGCCACCAAGUUGAACACCAUCACCAAAUCCAACCUGGGUCAGUGUGUCAGCAAGUACGACCUGCUGGUCUGGUUUGAGAUC
This is a non-coding RNA of Maylandia zebra (zebra mbuna), 719 nucleotides long. NCBI's taxonomy places the organism in Eukaryota, Metazoa, Chordata, Actinopteri, Cichliformes, Cichlidae. The record is from RefSeq and is a predicted model, not a curated record.